UUUAGUGGCCACAACGCCCCUACAAGGCAGACGCUGUCCUCGUCUUGCAGAUGGCGGACUGAGGCCCAGGGGGCGGAGGCUGGGGCCCUAAUCACGCAGCCGGCGAGCGUCACAGCCAGGAUUCGCCAUGGAGCUUUGGGCAGAACCCACGCCAGAGCCACGGGGCCUCCGCCAGUAAGGAGUUUAGAAACGGCCCAUCGUUCCCGAAGCCCGUGGGUCCGGAAGACACAGUUGAUAAGACCCAGCCUUUGGAGGGUCCGCUUGGGAAUUUCCCACUUUGUGUCCUGAGACUAGGAGCCCAGUGGUGGGGACUUUGUGAUCGCUGGUGAGACGAACGCGGUUCCCUGCACGGAGCUGGGCGUGAGCACCUGUGUAACCGAUCUGAACAACACGUGCUGUCACAUUCCUUCUCCAGACCUCACAGCAAAACAAGUUCCAGAUGGACUAAAGGUCUGAUGCUACAAAAUAAAUCUCUAAACCUAUAAAAAUGCUGGAAGACUUCGCAGGGACUUUUUCCAGAGAGGAGAGUGG
RNAcentral lists this long non-coding RNA (531 nucleotides) under Lynx canadensis (Canada lynx). RNAcentral's name for it is "lncRNA (ENSLCNG00005013957.1)". Lineage: Eukaryota; Metazoa; Chordata; Mammalia; Carnivora; Felidae. The record is from RNAcentral.